This 269-nucleotide ribosomal RNA is filed under the name uncultured prokaryote. RNAcentral describes it as "partial 16S ribosomal RNA". It matches the Rfam family "Bacterial small subunit ribosomal RNA", at positions 525 to 777 of the family's 1533-position model. The record is from RNAcentral.
ACGGAGGGGGCUAGCGUUGUUCGGAAUUACUGGGCGUAAAGCGCACGUAGGCGGCUUUGUAAGUUAGAGGUGAAAGCCCAGGGCUUAACCCUGGAAUUGCCUUUAAGACUGCAUCGCUAGAAUCGUGGAGAGGUGAGUGGAAUUCCGAGUGUAGAGGUGAAAUUCGUAGAUGUUCGGAAGAACACCAGUGGCGAAGGCGGCCCGCUGGGCAGGAAGGCUCGCAAGAGCCGGCUGACGCUGAGGCGCGACAGCGUGGGGAGCAAACAGGA